Molecule: long non-coding RNA, 325 nt
Filed under: Theobroma cacao (cacao)
Lineage: Eukaryota; Viridiplantae; Streptophyta; Magnoliopsida; Malvales; Malvaceae
Description: long non-coding RNA (TCAC_LNC004984)
Source: RNAcentral
AAGUAGUCUUGCAUCUCCUUUGCCUUCUGUCUCUGAAACUCCAAAGUGAUCACAUUCUGGUCACCAGCAGCUGCCACAGAAGCCGGCUUUGGCCGAGGCGAAGAAGAAGGAGGAGGUGUCGGCGGUUGUGAUGGAGAAGGAGGAACUGGUUUCAAAGGAGGUGGUGGAGAAGGUGCCACAGGUCUUCUCAAAGGCCCUUCAGUCUGAGAACUCCUGAUAGUCACAAUAUAAGGUUUGGCUGUCGUAGACAAUCUACAACAAGUGGAGGACGAGGAAGAAGAAGAAGAAGAAGAGGAAGAUGGGGAUGAAGGGUUUGGGAUUUUGA